Molecule: long non-coding RNA, 609 nt
Filed under: Homo sapiens (human)
Lineage: Eukaryota; Metazoa; Chordata; Mammalia; Primates; Hominidae
Description: non-protein coding lnc-ST6GAL2-6:1
Source: RNAcentral
UUGAAAAGGGCAGUCUGGGGUGGCCUGGAGUGGCCACUGUCACACACACAAAAAAGAAUACUCAUCAGGCUGUCUAGACAUACCAAGAAAACAGGGACCUCAAUAGUGGAAAAGAGAAAUGCACCCAUUUUGGAAGUUUGAUUUUUUGGUCAGCCGGUGAAAUAUUCUUUGUCUUCACUCUUUCUUUGGCCACUGACUCAAUCCUUGCCACAAGUUUAAGGGAGGAAUACUGCACAUGCUAACUGAAAGCACAUAUUUUGCUGGAAAAGUCACUCUAUUUUUUAAAAUCUCAUGAAACAGUCAACAUGAUAUAUGUUUUUUCUCAAAAGAAAGACUCCUAAUUCCUUCCCAUGAAAACCACAUUUUAGUAGCAGCCUAGUUGAAUUUGAGGCUAUGCAAAUUUCUGGUUCUCCUUAAACUUUUGUCCUCUAACAUUAGCAUUCAUCAAUGGACUGCACCUACAGUAGCUAUUACUGCGGUGUCCUCAUGGUCACUGUCUACUUCCCGUACAUUUGUUACAAGCAGUGAACCUACACUAACACAUAAUUAUCACUCAAAGUCCAUAGUUUACAUUAGGGUUCGGUUUUAAUCUUUUGUAUUCUAUGGGUU